GGCCAGGUAGCUCAGUUGGUACGAGCGUCCGACUGAAAAUCGGAAGGUCGACAGUUCGAUCCUGUCCCUGGCCACCA
This 77-nucleotide transfer RNA is filed under the name Actinomycetes bacterium. RNAcentral describes it as "tRNA-Phe". It matches the Rfam family "tRNA". Rfam says of the family: Transfer RNA (tRNA) molecules are approximately 80 nucleotides in length. RNAcentral also lists the same sequence under 3 other names. The record is from RNAcentral. Lineage: Bacteria; Bacillati; Actinomycetota; Actinomycetes.